UCCAUCAAAACUCAAAAACCCUAGGAACCCCUUAACGAUUAUAAUCAAAUAACAAACACAUGCAUAUGAGGAGAAGAUCAGAAAUCAUCUACCACUAUGAAGACCAUGAACUGGUGAUUUUGAGAUCUUCAUGAGACUCCAAAGCAGAAGCUCUCCAAUGGUGAUCCACACAAGAUUGAUCAGGGCCCUUCCCAACUCAUCAUGAUGCUGCAGUCUUCUUCAUAAGUGCAUUGCCGAUAGUCCUUCGUAAGAACUCGAUGCACCAUUGCUUGUAUGCCUUCAUGACCUCCACUAGGACCACACUAGAAAUUUUUUUUCAAAGUAUCAAACCACACUCUAAUCAGAUUUUAUGUUCAACACAUGAACAAUCUGAUUUCUGGACAAGUAUCUCAUACUUUCAAUUUUUUUUCUCUCUUUCUUUCUAUUUUUCCUUCCCUUUCCCUUUCUAUUUUUCACUUCAGAUUUUUACCACCUCAUCCUCAUCUAAUUCCACAUACAAAAAACAUUUUUGGAUAGAUUUUAUGCCAAAUGAGGCAACCCUUAUAUAAGGGAUGAAGGGGUGCCACAUGUGACACCAAGGGGUGCCAACUCUUGGAGUCCCAACUCCUUAACAUGGUGAAAAUAAAUUUUCCACAUGAAAAUCAAGGGGUCAAGGC
This 656-nucleotide long non-coding RNA is filed under the name Elaeis guineensis (African oil palm). RNAcentral describes it as "long non-coding RNA (EGUI_LNC033854)". Lineage: Eukaryota; Viridiplantae; Streptophyta; Magnoliopsida; Arecales; Arecaceae. The record is from RNAcentral.